CACGCUGAAAACACCGGUUCUCGUUCAAUCACCGAAGUUAAGCAUCGUAGAGCCAGGUCAGUACUUAGAUGGGGGACCGCUUGGGAACACCUGGUACUGUAAG
Molecule: ribosomal RNA, 103 nt
Filed under: Acanthosepion pharaonis
Lineage: Eukaryota; Metazoa; Mollusca; Cephalopoda; Sepiida; Sepiidae
Source: RNAcentral